AGUUAUUAAUUAAAAAUAAAAAAACUUAAAAAAUAUAUUUAUUAAUUAAAAACAUUAGUUAAAUUUUAAAAAAAAAUCUUGAAACAACAUGAAAUAACAAAUACAAAUGUGCUUAGAAGAGCAAUCAAAUUUGGGAUUCAAGGAUGAAAUCACUAUUAUUUAACCAUUUAACUAGAGAAGCUAAUGGGUUAAAAAUAUCAAUUAAAAGUAAAAAAAGAAUAAGCUUGAAACAAUAUGAAAUAAAAAAAAUAUACAAAUGUGAGUAGGAGAGGAAUCAAUCCUAAAACUUACAAAUAAAACCACUAACAUUUAAUCAUUUAACUAAAUGAGCUGAUAUGUUAAAAAAGCCAGAAAACGCCCUUUAUAGAACGCACUUUCAACUGAGGUGGUUGAAAGUAUGCCCUGUAGGACACAUUUUCAGUAAAAAACUCAUCGAGCAAGGCACGUUUUCACUUUCUCUCUCCAAAAUCGACC
This 474-nucleotide long non-coding RNA is filed under the name Gossypium barbadense (sea-island cotton). Its description in RNAcentral is "long non-coding RNA (GBAR_LNC020142)". Lineage: Eukaryota; Viridiplantae; Streptophyta; Magnoliopsida; Malvales; Malvaceae. The record is from RNAcentral.